This 301-nucleotide ribosomal RNA is filed under the name uncultured bacterium. RNAcentral describes it as "partial 16S ribosomal RNA". It matches the Rfam family "Bacterial small subunit ribosomal RNA", at positions 509 to 807 of the family's 1533-position model. The record is from RNAcentral.
CAGUCGCCACGGGAAUACGGAGGGUGCAAGCGUUAAUCGGAAUUACUGGGCGUAAAGCGCACGCAGGCGGUUUGUUAAGUCAGAUGUGAAAUCCCCGAGCUUAACUUGGGAACUGCAUUUGAAACUGGCAAGCUAGAGUCUUGUAGAGGGGGGUAGAAUUCCAGGUGUAGCGGUGAAAUGCGUAGAGAUCUGGAGGAAUACCGGUGGCGAAGGCGGCCCCCUGGACAAAGACUGACGCUCAGGUGCGAAAGCGUGGGGAGCAAACAGGAUUAGAUACCCACGUAGUCCCUGUCUCUUAUAC